AGGAGCGCAGGAGAGCUAGAGGCAGACUGAGAAGGCCAUCAACAUGAUCAUAAUAAUGGAUCGUCUCCGCUGCUUUAUGAAUAACGCCGACGAAUAAAACUGGUGCCCACACACAGCAGCAAUAUUUUCAUCAGAUUGAUCACCUUCUCAGUCUGCCUCUUGUCCUCCUCAGCCCU
RNAcentral lists this microRNA precursor (176 nucleotides) under Picea abies (Norway spruce). RNAcentral describes it as "miR11487a stem-loop (pab-MIR11487a)". The record is from miRBase by way of RNAcentral. Lineage: Eukaryota; Viridiplantae; Streptophyta; Pinopsida; Pinales; Pinaceae.